RNAcentral lists this ribosomal RNA (252 nucleotides) under uncultured bacterium. RNAcentral describes it as "partial 16S ribosomal RNA". It matches the Rfam family "Bacterial small subunit ribosomal RNA", at positions 524 to 776 of the family's 1533-position model. The record is from RNAcentral.
UACGUAGGUGGCAAGCGUUGUCCGGAAUCAUUGGGCGUAAAGAGCGUGUAGGCGGCUCGAUAAGUCUGCUGUGAAAGUCCAGGGCUCAACCCUGGAAGGCCGGUGGAAACUGUCGGGCUAGAGUCCGGAAGAGGCGAGUGGAAUUCUGGUGUAGCGGUGGAAUGCGUAGAUAUCAGGAAGAACACCGGUGGCGAAGGCGGCUCGCUGGGCCAGAUCCGACACUCAGCCGCGAAAGCGUGGGGAGCAAACAGG